UAUACUUUUUUCCACAUCGUCCCCACGCUAUUUUCAUCCUGAAAAUUUCAAUCUUCAUGUGUCAUUUUUUACACUUAAGACGGGAUUUAGUGAUUAAUAACAACUGUCAAAGAUCGAUAUAUCUUUUAUCAUUAUAGUGAUCAUGUUUAAAUUAAGGAUUAUCAUUUCGAAUAACUAUAAAAUAAAAUAAAAUGCUUCGCUGGGCGCAGCUUGAUACGACCGCAGAGGUCGAACCCUGAACAGUUGGGGCAAGUAUGGACACAACAUUCAAGCUUGAUACAGCUCUGAAUUUGGAUUGUGAUUAAAUAUUUGACACAGCAUAGGUUUCUGACACAGAAAGAAUGUGGUCUAAGAACUUGAAUUUUUUUAAUUUACCUAUUAUGGUCCAAUGUCCAAAAUCAAAAUACAUGGUUAGAUUCAGCAUAUCAAAGAACCUCAUAUAUUCAAUUUUUGUUGAAAUCAAACAAAGUUUAAUUUUGGACCCCAACUUGGACAAGCUUGAAAACUGGGCCCAUAAUCAAAAAUCUAAACACAUGCUUAGAUUCAGCAUAUCAAAGAACCCCAAGAAUUCAAUUUUUGCUAAAAUCAAACUAAGUUUAAUUUUGGACCCUUUGGACCUUAAUGUAGACCAAUUUAAAAAAUGGGACUUAAAAUUAAAAAUCUAAAUACACGGUUAGAUUUGUAAUAUCAAAGAACCCCAAUAAUUCAAUUUUUGAUGAAAUCAAACAAAGUUUAAUUUUGGACCCUUUUGACCUCAAUAUGAACCAAUUUGAUAAGCGGGGCCCACAAAUAAAAAAUCUAAAUUUAUGUUUAGAUUCAGCAUAUCAAAGAACCCCAUAUAUUCAAUUUUUGUUGAAAUCAAAAAAAGUUUAAUUUUGGACCCUUUGGACCGCAAUAAAGACCAAUUUAAAAAAAGGGACCCAAAUUAAACAUCUAAAAACACGGUUAGAUUUGGCAUAUCAAAGAACCCCAAUAAUUCAAUUUUUGAUGAAAUCAAACAAA
Mytilus californianus (California mussel) is the source of this 1002-nucleotide long non-coding RNA. RefSeq lists it as uncharacterized. The transcript has 2 exons. The record is from RefSeq and is a predicted model, not a curated record. Lineage: Eukaryota; Metazoa; Mollusca; Bivalvia; Mytilida; Mytilidae.